RNAcentral lists this ribosomal RNA (548 nucleotides) under uncultured bacterium. Its description in RNAcentral is "bacterial SSU rRNA". It matches the Rfam family "Bacterial small subunit ribosomal RNA", at positions 355 to 894 of the family's 1533-position model. The record is from RNAcentral.
UAGGGAAUCUUUGGCAAUGGACGGAAGUCUGACCGAGCAACGCCGCGUGAGUGAAGAAGGUUUUCGGAUCGUAAAGCUCUGUUGUAAGAGAAGAACGAGUGUGAGAGUGGAAAGUUCACACUGUGACGGUAUCUUACCAGAAAGGGACGGCUAACUACGUGCCAGCAGCCGCGGUAAUACGUAGGUCCCGAGCGUUGUCCGGAUUUAUUGGGCGUAAAGCGAGCGCAGGCGGUUAGAUAAGUCUGAAGUUAAAGGCUGUGGCUUAACCAUAGUAGGCUUUGGAAACUGUUUAACUUGAGUGCAAGAGGGGAGAGUGGAAUUCCAUGUGUAGCGGUGAAAUGCGUAGAUAUAUGGAGGAACACCGGUGGCGAAAGCGGCUCUCUGGCUUGUAACUGACGCUGAGGCUCGAAAGCGUGGGGAGCAAACAGGAUUAGAUACCCUGGUAGUCCACGCUGUAAACGAUGAGUGCUAGGUGUUAGACCCUUUCCGGGGUUUAGUGCCGUAGCUAACGCAUUAAGCACUCCGCCUGGGGAGUACGACCGCAAGGU